UACGUAGGGGGCAAGCGUUGUCCGGAAUCAUUGGGCGUAAAGAGCGUGUAGGCGGCCAGAUCAGUCCGCUGUGAAAUCUCGAGGCUCAACUUCGAGCUGUCGGUGGAAACUGUCUGGCUAGAGUCCGGAAGAGGAGAAUGGAAUUCCAGGUGUAGCGGUGAAAUGCGUAGAUAUCUGGAGGAACACCGGUGGCGAAGGCGGCGUCCUGGACCAACACUGACACUGAUGAGCGAAAGCCAGGGGAGCAAACGGG
This 253-nucleotide ribosomal RNA is filed under the name uncultured bacterium. RNAcentral's name for it is "partial 16S ribosomal RNA". It matches the Rfam family "Bacterial small subunit ribosomal RNA", at positions 524 to 776 of the family's 1533-position model. The record is from RNAcentral.